Molecule: ribosomal RNA, 251 nt
Filed under: uncultured prokaryote
Description: partial 16S ribosomal RNA
Rfam family: Bacterial small subunit ribosomal RNA
Source: RNAcentral
ACGUAGGGUGCAAGCGUUAAUCGGAAUUACUGGGCGUAAAGCGUGCGCAGGCGGUUCGGAAAGAAAGGUGUGAAAUCCCAGGGCUUAACCUUGGAACUGCACUUUUAACUACCGGGCUAGAGUACGUCAGAGGGGGGUAGAAUUCCACGUGUAGCAGUGAAAUGCGUAGAGAUGUGGAGGAAUACCGAUGGCGAAGGCAGCCCCCUGGGAUGAUACUGACGCUCAUGCACGAAAGCGUGGGGAGCAAACAG